This is a non-coding RNA of Zootermopsis nevadensis, 73 nucleotides long. The record is from Rfam. NCBI's taxonomy places the organism in Eukaryota, Metazoa, Arthropoda, Insecta, Blattodea, Termopsidae.
GCCACGGUGGUCUAGCGGUUAGAAUGCUGGCCUUGUAAUCCUGGGGUCUCGGGUUCGAUUCCCGGCGGUGCCC